CUUCCGUAGGUGAACCUGCGGAGGGAUCAUUACCGAGUUUACAACUCCCAAACCCCUGUGAACAUACCAAUUGUUGCCUCGGCGGAUCAGCCCGCUCCCGGUAAAACGGGACGGCCCGCCAGAGGACCCCUAAACUCUGUUUCUAUAUGUAACUUCUGAGUAAAACCAUAAAUAAAUCAAAACUUUCAACAACGGAUCUCUUGGUUCUGGCAUCGAUGAAGAACGCAGCAAAAUGCGAUAAGUAAUGUGAAUUGCAGAAUUCAGUGAAUCAUCGAAUCUUUGAACGCACAUUGCGCCCGCCAGUAUUCUGGCGGGCAUGCCUGUUCGAGCGUCAUUUCAACCCUCAAGCCCCCGGGUUUGGUGUUGGGGAUCGGCGAGCCCUUGCGGCAAGCCGGCCCCGAAAUCUAGUGGCGGUCUCGCUGCAGCUUCCAUUGCGUAGUAGUAAAACCCUCGCAACUGGUACGCGGCGCGGCCAAGCCGUUAAACCCCCAACUUCUGAAUGUUGACCUCGGAUCAGGUAGGAAUACCCGCUGAACUUAAGCAUAUCAAUAAGCGGAGGAA
Molecule: ribosomal RNA, 561 nt
Filed under: Fusarium sp. BAB-4363
Lineage: Eukaryota; Fungi; Ascomycota; Sordariomycetes; Hypocreales; Nectriaceae
Description: eukaryotic LSU rRNA
Rfam family: 5.8S ribosomal RNA (bases 181-334)
Source: RNAcentral